Meriones unguiculatus (Mongolian gerbil) is the source of this 1267-nucleotide long non-coding RNA. RefSeq lists it as uncharacterized. Lineage: Eukaryota; Metazoa; Chordata; Mammalia; Rodentia; Muridae. The record is from RefSeq and is a predicted model, not a curated record. The transcript has 3 exons.
AAAUGACAAGAUCAUUUAGCAAUCAAUUAGCGUGGUCCCCAGGCUCUCGGCCUGCACGGCUGCCUGCUAGCAGAAAGAAUGUGCUUUAUACCCUGAUUGGAAACAGAUGCGCUGAUGAGAAGGUGAGAAAACAGAGGCACAGGGGACAAGACACUGAAAACCACCCAGCAAGUGCAGGACAGUGAACCUGCUCUCGGGCUCUACUGUCAGGCUGUGAAGAGAUGAAUCUUUCCAGCUCUCUCCUCCUCCCUAACACAUGGAAAGGGAAGCCUGAGGCCCUAGACUCCAGCUUCAGCGCACGGGUCAGCUAUGGACUGCAAGCUGAAAUCUGGACUUCCUGGAAACUGACAUGGUUGCUCCCUGCCUCUCGGGUGGAUCAACUAACCAGAUGCUUGGGCCUGCCCCAUUGCCCAGCCUUUGACUGGCAUUUCGGCCUCCCUAGCCCCUGAUGCCAAUGGUCCAAUUGUCAGAACUGAAGAAGCUCCAGAAGAUGGAUCUUCACCCAAAUCCCACCUAGCAGGCUGAAAUGCUAAGUCAAAAGGGGCUGGCUCCCUGCAUUGGCUAUUAUCUUGGGCAUCUGCUUAGCUGAAACGGAAACUAAUAUUGCAGAAAGACACUAGAGAAAAGAAAAGGAUAAUAGUUCUCUUUGGCUUACUACCCCUAUAUCCACCCUGAAGGGACCCCUACUCAUUUUGAUUUUUAUCUUUGGGCCUUGUAUUUUAAAUUGCUUGAUGGCUCGCAUUAAAAAAAAAAAAUGUUUGGUAGCAAUAUACUAAUGGUACUCAGAUCCCGUUUUAAAAAGGUAAAUCUAUAGAAUACAAGGGGUCAUAUCUGGAAGACCCAAUGAUCAUGGGAAAGGGGGAAAUGAGAGACCAAAAGAUUAAAAAUCAGCAGUUGUUAUUAAAGUUUAAGGCCUGAACUAAGGCUAGCUAGGUAGAGAGGUCCAGUAAUGCCCUGAGGGGAAGGACCGCCUUACUGCAUUCUUUUCCCACCCACUAGAGAUACAGUUGCUAGGAAACUGGCCCAUCCCCCUAGGGAGGGACACCAGAUCAUUAAUGGUUUGGGGACCUUCCUAUAGCCAGUCAAUUCAAAAUGUAGCAUUUUGACCAAUAGAUACUUGCCAGGCAGGAAUUGCCCCUGCCUUGGGCAUGCUGGGAGGGACCAGAAUCUUUAAAUCACCCAACUAACCUGAGCAUGGGACUCUCGGCUCUCACCGCUUCGGUGGUGGGGGGUGUGGGCCCAAGCUACAGCUUGUAAUGAUUUAUAA